UGACCACAUCGCGUUGAAACACCGGUUUCCGAACGAUCACCGAAGUUAAGCAACGUCGAGUCCGAUUAGCACCUAGAUGGGUGACCGCUUGGAAAUACCAGGUGCUGUAA
Acanthosepion pharaonis is the source of this 110-nucleotide non-coding RNA. NCBI's taxonomy places the organism in Eukaryota, Metazoa, Mollusca, Cephalopoda, Sepiida, Sepiidae. The record is from the annotation of a GenBank genome assembly.